RNAcentral lists this ribosomal RNA (1342 nucleotides) under uncultured bacterium. Its description in RNAcentral is "bacterial SSU rRNA". It matches the Rfam family "Bacterial small subunit ribosomal RNA", at positions 28 to 1381 of the family's 1533-position model. The record is from RNAcentral.
GACGAACGCUGGCGGCGUGCUUAACACAUGCAAGUCGAACGAUGAUGCCCAGCUUGCUGGGUGGAUUAGUGGCGAACGGGUGAGUAACACGUGAGUAACCUGCCCCUGACUCUGGGAUAAGCGUUGGAAACGACGUCUAAUACUGGAUAUGAUCACUGGCCGCAUGGUCUGGUGGUGGAAAGAUUUUUUGGUUGGGGAUGGACUCGCGGCCUAUCAGCUUGUUGGUGAGGUAAUGGCUCACCAAGGCGACGACGGGUAGCCGGCCUGAGAGGGUGACCGGCCACACUGGGACUGAGACACGGCCCAGACUCCUACGGGAGGCAGCAGUGGGGAAUAUUGCACAAUGGGCGAAAGCCUGAUGCAGCAACGCCGCGUGAGGGAUGACGGCCUUCGGGUUGUAAACCUCUUUUAGUAGGGAAGAAGCGAAAGUGACGGUACCUGCAGAAAAAGCACCGGCUAACUACGUGCCGGCAGCCGCGGUAAUACGUAGGGUGCAAGCGUUGUCCGGAAUUAUUGGGCGUAAAGAGCUCGUAGGCGGUUUGUCGCGUCUGCUGUGAAAUCCCGAGGCUCAACCUCGGGCUUGCAGUGGGUACGGGCAGACUAGAGUGCGGUAGGGGAGAUUGGAAUUCCUGGUGUAGCGGUGGAAUGCGCAGAUAUCAGGAGGAACACCGAUGGCGAAGGCAGAUCUCUGGGCCGUAACUGACGCUGAGGAGCGAAAGCAUGGGGAGCGAACAGGAUUAGAUACCCUGGUAGUCCAUGCCGUAAACGUUGGGCGCUAGAUGUAGGGACCUUUCCACGGUUUCUGUGUCGUAGCUAACGCAUUAAGCGCCCCGCCUGGGGAGUACGGCCGCAAGGCUAAAACUCAAAGGAAUUGACGGGGGCCCGCACAAGCGGCGGAGCAUGCGGAUUAAUUCGAUGCAACGCGAAGAACCUUACCAAGGCUUGACAUACACCGGAAACGGCCAGAGAUGGUCGCCCCCUUGUGGUCGGUGUACAGGUGGUGCAUGGUUGUCGUCAGCUCGUGUCGUGAGAUGUUGGGUUAAGUCCCGCAACGAGCGCAACCCUCGUUCUAUGUUGCCAGCGGGUUAUGCCGGGGACUCAUAGGAGACUGCCGGGGUCAACUCGGAGGAAGGUGGGGAUGACGUCAAAUCAUCAUGCCCCUUAUGUCUUGGGCUUCACGCAUGCUACAAUGGCCGGUACAAAGGGCUGCGAUACCGUAAGGUGGAGCGAAUCCCAAAAAGCCGGUCUCAGUUCGGAUUGAGGUCUGCAACUCGACCUCAUGAAGUCGGAGUCGCUAGUAAUCGCAGAUCAGCAACGCUGCGGUGAAUACGUUCCCGGGCCU